AAAACCCUCAACAUCAUAAAAUCAGCAAAUUGAAAGGGAAUCCAUGGUCUAAAUCAUUGCAUGUGCACAUAGAAACAUUCAACUAAGUUAGUCUAUCGAAUGGAAGACACAAGCCAUUCCGGAGCACAAGCAAAACACGACAAAGGUAAAUCUACUUGUUAAAUGGCGUCACUCGGAUCGAACACACCCAUGAAGCACGCUUCCGCAAGGAUAUUAGCUUGGGUCAAACUUUUGUUAAUUGUACUUUUUGGUAAAAUGGGUCUUUUUGUAAGUAACCAAACUUGUUUGUUAUUAGAUGUCGAACUCGUAGUCGAAGUCUAUGUUAGUUGUUUAUGAAUGUUGGAUUGUAAGUUAUUUUAACACCUCCUAGUUAGUCGUGCUAUGGUUAAUGCAAAAAUUUUUGCUUACGAAUUUAUU
RNAcentral lists this long non-coding RNA (417 nucleotides) under Helianthus annuus (common sunflower). The record is from RNAcentral. Lineage: Eukaryota; Viridiplantae; Streptophyta; Magnoliopsida; Asterales; Asteraceae.